Molecule: ribosomal RNA, 497 nt
Filed under: uncultured bacterium
Lineage: Bacteria
Description: partial 16S ribosomal RNA
Rfam family: Bacterial small subunit ribosomal RNA
Source: RNAcentral
GAUGAACGCUGGCGGCGUGCCUAAUACAUGCAAGUCGAGCGAACGGACGAGAAGCUUGCUUCUCUGAUGUUAGCGGCUGACGGGUGAGUAACACGUGGAUAACCUACCUAUAAGACUGGGAUAACUUCGGUAAACCGUAGCUAAUACCGGAUAAUAUUUUGAACCGCAUGGUUCAAAAGUGAAAGACGGUCUUGCUGUCACUUAUAGAUGGAUCCGCGCUGCAUUAGCUAGUUGGUAAGGUAACGGCUUACCAAGGCAACGAUGCAUAGCCGACCUGAGAGGGUGAUCGGCCACACUGGAACUGAGACACGGUCCAGACUCCUACGGGAGGCAGCAGUAGGGAAUCUUCCGCAAUGGGCGAAAGCCUGACGGAGCAACGCCGCGUGAGUGAUGAAGGUCUUCGGAUCGUAAAACUCUGUUAUUAGGGAAGAACAUAUGUGUAAGUAACUGUGCACAUCUUGACGGUACCUAAUCAGAAAGCCACGGCUAACUACGUG